UGGGGAAUAUUGCGCAAUGGGCGAAAGCCUGACGCAGCGACGCCGCGUGAGGGAUGAAGGCCUUCGGGUUGUAAACCUCUUUCAGCAGGGAAGAAGCGAAAGUGACGGUACCUGCAGAAGAAGCACCGGCUAACUACGUGCCAGCAGCCGCGGUAAUACGUAGGGUGCAAGCGUUGUCCGGAAUUAUUGGGCGUAAAGAGCUCGUAGGCGGUUUGUCGCGUCUGCUGUGAAAACGCGGGGCUCAACUCCGCGCCUGCAGUGGGUACGGGCAGACUAGAGUGCAGUAGGGGAGACUGGAAUUCCUGGUGUAGCGGUGGAAUGCGCAGAUAUCAGGAGGAACACCGGUGGCGAAGGCGGGUCUCUGGGCUGUAACUGACGCUGAGGAGCGAAAGCGUGGGUAGCGAAC
This 406-nucleotide ribosomal RNA is filed under the name uncultured bacterium. Its description in RNAcentral is "bacterial SSU rRNA". It matches the Rfam family "Bacterial small subunit ribosomal RNA", at positions 355 to 773 of the family's 1533-position model. The record is from RNAcentral.